Non-coding RNA from Cricetulus griseus (Chinese hamster), 733 nucleotides. The record is from RefSeq and is a predicted model, not a curated record. Lineage: Eukaryota; Metazoa; Chordata; Mammalia; Rodentia; Cricetidae.
UGGGCAGAUGGGUCGCGGCUGUGCAGGGGCGUGGAAGGUCAGCCCUGUUGCGCAGAGACUGGGACUGCAUAGGAGCCUCCAUCAACCUAUCUGUCAUCGCAGUUCGUUCAGCUCUCUGAUUCGAUUAAAUGUUUACUCUUAACCCUUGAUAGAUAGAAAUAAAGAGGUACAAAUAAGGAGAGCCUGGCAUGAAUAAGAGCCCUGGAAAGUGACUUUUGGACAGUGGCAUAAAAGUGUGAUCAGUGCCUCCCUGACACUUGGAUGACUCCAUCUACUUCAAAUGAGGCUGCAAGGUCUACCCUUCAAGGCCUUGGACAGUGUGUGGGAGCUAAGGUCCUGCUGCACACAGUGGCUGCAGAAGGCAUUGUUACAUGAGUGAAGAAGGUCGGGGACUUAGCUCAGUGGUUGAGCACUGCCUGAUGUAAGCCAAAUCAAGAAAGUACCUGAACCUGUACUUCAUCUCCAAACCCUAACUAGGACAUGGGAUGCAAGUCUGUGGGAUGGAUGGAUGAUGGAUCCUGUAUUAUAGCACUGUUGUCUGCAUAAUCAUCACAACUGCUAGGGUUCCCUCAAUGUAUACUCUGUUUUUGCCUAACUCACACUGGAUGUAUGUCUCUACCUCUGGGCCAUCUUAACUUCCUAACAGCCCUUAGUAGUUCUUACUAUCACUUCUCCUUAUCCAUCCUGAGCUAAUAAAGGAUGCCUUGCCCUAGGCACAGAAUCAGCAUCGGGA